CCUACGGGUGGCAGCAGUGAGGAAUAUUGGUCAAUGGACGAGAGUCUGAACCAGCCAAGUAGCGUGAAGGAUGACUGCCCUCUGGGUUGUAAACUUCUUUUAUAUGGGAAUAAAAUGUUCCACGUAUGGGCUUUUGUAUGUACCAUAUGAAUAAGGAUCGGCUAACUCCGUGCCAGCAGCCGCGGUAAUACGGAGGAUCCGAGCGUUAUCCGGAUUUAUUGGGUUUAAAGGGAGCGUAGGUGGUUUGUUAAGUCACUUGUGAAAUUUUGCGGCUCAACCGUAAAAUUGCAGUUGAAACUGGCAGUCUUGAGUACAGUAGAGGUGGGCGGAAUUCGAGGUGUAGCGGUGAAAUGCGUAGAUAUCACGAGGAACUCCGAUGGCGAAGGCAGCUCUCUGGACUGCAACUGACACUGAGGCGCGAAAGUGUGGGUAUCAAACAGGAUUAGAUACCCGGGUAGUC
This 460-nucleotide ribosomal RNA is filed under the name uncultured bacterium. Its description in RNAcentral is "partial 16S ribosomal RNA". It matches the Rfam family "Bacterial small subunit ribosomal RNA", at positions 338 to 795 of the family's 1533-position model. The record is from RNAcentral.